Molecule: transfer RNA, 92 nt
Filed under: Nocardioides szechwanensis
Lineage: Bacteria; Bacillati; Actinomycetota; Actinomycetes; Propionibacteriales; Nocardioidaceae
Description: tRNA-Pro
Source: RNAcentral
UCCGCCAUCGGCGGGUCGGAGAGCUGGUGCUCGGGGUGCGCCGGCGCGAAGCCGCAGGCGAGCAGGACCCGGUUCUGGUCGCGCAGCGGGAC